Molecule: long non-coding RNA, 857 nt
Organism: Engraulis encrasicolus (European anchovy)
Lineage: Eukaryota; Metazoa; Chordata; Actinopteri; Clupeiformes; Engraulidae
Exons: 2
Source: RefSeq, a predicted model, not a curated record
UUGGAUUGUGGGUACUCAAGCAGCGCGGAACUAGGUAGGCAGGCUACCUGUUGCAAUCUCUUACUAUCUUUUUUGCUGUCUCGUCCUGUCUCUCUCUCUCUCUCUCGCCCUUGGUGAGAAGCACCUUCUCUCAUUUCCCUGUGAGCGACAAGAAGGAAAAUUAGAUCUAACCAUAAGAUCUGCCCUGGUCAGUAUGUUCCUCCGAACACGGAUGGAGUCACAGUGGAAGCCUUGUCCGUGCCACUCAGACAAAACUAUCUGACAGCCAUAGAUCUGCCUAUAACAGUUUGAUGACUAGAUUUGCAUGCCAUGUGGCUCAUUCAUAGAACGGUUAUGAACUGAAAUUGUACAGUGACUCGUCGCAGUAACUCAAAGUUGAGUUGAGUUCAAAUGGCAACGUUUUGUUACAGCCCAUUUUCAUCCCUCUACUCUAACCUGAUUUACACCAUCUGGCUGCGUUCAGCUACGUCACGCGGGGGCGUUCCAAAGCAUAUCAGAGGGCAAGGUUCAGGUAACCUCUACUCAUCUUCUGGGGAGUGCUUUUGAAACCCCUGUGAAAAAGUGGGCUUGGGGGUCCACUCUCACAACGGGAUUUUGGCGCCAAGGCACACAGAGGUUGAAGAAGACUUUGACAGAGGCGGCAACCAGAUGAAGAAAUUGUGCUAGUAGUGAGGGUUUAUUUACAAGUGUGCAAAAUGUGACAAAACAAAAGACUUUCAAAAUAAAGAAAACAAAAACCAACCAGAGGGUUGUUCAGGACGAGCUAAUAAACAAUUAAAGUUCAAGGAUUCAGUAAGGCAAACCUCAGCACAAACACCAAUCUUCCUCCUCAGUCUCUUUCUCAAGAGUGGCAAAAA